This 1075-nucleotide long non-coding RNA is filed under the name Bos taurus (domestic cattle). Its description in RNAcentral is "long non-coding RNA NONBTAT023771". Lineage: Eukaryota; Metazoa; Chordata; Mammalia; Artiodactyla; Bovidae. The record is from RNAcentral.
AAAUAUUUAAUACUCAAGUAUUUCACAGAAAAAAAAAUGUAUCUACUUUCUCAUUAGGUUACUGAAAUGUUUUAAUGCAUUUAUGAUUUUUGUUAUUAGUGUGAAUUUUAAUGUAGAGGAGAAUGCAGUGUACUAAGUGAUAUGCCAGUGUCUAAUUACAUUCAUUUUUAGAAAAAAAUAAUCAUUCUUGAAAAUUAGAAUGCAUGAAAACCUAUUUUGUAAAAUAAACUGCUUAUGGGGAGGGGAAAGUUUGCCUUUAAAAAUGUUUCACUAUUACCAUAGAAUCUAUACUUAAAAACUGCAUUCCCAAGACUCUCAUGUAGUUUUUAUACCUAACUUCCUGACUAUCAAGGGAGUAUACCUCUAGAGAGAAAACUUGGUGAGGAUGUCUUACUUCCCUGACUUGGUAGGGGAGUAAGCUUGGUUGAAAUUGCUGCAGACAAGUGUUUUGUACUACUUUAUUAAUAAUGGACUGGGAUAGGGUGAAGGUGAGGGUUAUGCUGGAAAAAUGUAGAAAAGCUAGAGCAAGAAAUAUAUAUUUCAUUCUAAAAGAAGAUACUUUAAAAAUAAAUUUAAUCUCAAAGUUGAUUUUUAAAGCAUUUUUAUUUUAAAGCUAUGUUGGUAAAUACUAUUUCUUAUGAUAGAACUAUUUUGAUCUGUUUAUUACACUAUGCUUAAAAGAAUGUUAAAUUCCCUUUCUACAGAAAGGCCUUGACCUCAGUAUGUUCUAUUUAGUGCAUCAUGUUUAUAAUGAUAUGCUUACGUCCACAUACCAUCAUUAUUUGUUGCUAAGACAUUAUUCUCCAUGAAGCUGAUGUUAUUAUAGAAAGUUUACUGAUAGUAUAACCUGUUUGAAGUAACUUUUGAUUAUACUUUGUGUGAGAUUUAUGUUCCGCGCUGACACUGUCUACUCAAACGUCCACAACGCUGAUAUUCUACCACCUCAGAUGUGGAUAGUAACCAUUAACAGAUGACUGAUUUCUCUUUGUUUCAUUCUAUCAAAUUUCAGAUGUUUGGUUCACUGGUAAUGUUGACUAUUCACUGCAUUAAAUAAAAAAUAAUCUUUUCUAAGAAU